Long non-coding RNA from Heterocephalus glaber (naked mole-rat), 8457 nucleotides. The record is from Ensembl. Lineage: Eukaryota; Metazoa; Chordata; Mammalia; Rodentia; Bathyergidae.
GGGAAAAUACACUGCCUUUCCAGCCUUUCCUGGCCCAGGGUGGCACCCCUGUCCUUCCUCAGCCAUGCUGCAGGUGGCCUGAGCAACAGGUCCAGGGGAAGCUGGCACUCAUGAGAGAAAGCAGUAUCUUCAAGGACGUGGAAGAGGAUACCAGGGUUUGUCCUCUCUGGACCCACAUCACACUUCAAUCCCCACCGUGGAGCACUGUGAGGGUGUCAGAGGAGGGGCCGUGGGAUGCCAUCAGGGCUAGAUUAAGUCAUCAGGGUGGGGGCUCCAUGAUGGCCCCGAGGCUCUACAGAACACUUGCAAAGGCUCCCUCUCUUUCACCUGUGUGCCCUGUACCUCCUGAGACUGCCAGCAAGGAGGCCACCUCCUGAUGGGCCUUGGAGAGCUGAAUGAGCCUCUUUGCUUUAGGAAUUGAUACAGCCCCAGGUGUUGUUAUAGAACAGACCCUACCCCGGGUUCACAGGAGGGUGAUUCUUGAAUGGCCCUAGUGAGGCAUGUAAGGUGAGAGGUGAGAGACCCUGUUUCCUACCAAGGAAAGGAGAACUUUCCAGCCAGCAGAGCUGCUGUCUCCUGCAGCUACAUGGGCACCAGAUACAAGGGCACUGGAUACAUGGGCACCAGCAGAGCUUCUGUAGUGUGGACAAGGCAAGAGUUCCUAUGUCUGUGAACCCAUUUUCCAAGGAAGAACACGCCGAAUCAGCCCGCUGCAGACAGGCAGGUCUGCCCACGCCUUACCGAGGACCCCAGUCAUCACGCGGAAUACGCCGAAUCAGCCCACUGCACACAGGAAGAUCUGUGCACACCCUACCGAGGUCCUGAGUCUUGAGGAAGACACUGAAUCACCCCGCUGCAGACAGACAGCCACCUGGUUCCGCACUACAAAGACGCAGGGGAACCAGACCACCAGACCAAGGAGUCCCCGGCGUGCAGUAGAGACUUGCUGGGGAAAUGUCAGCGUGGACCAUGGGCACUCGCAGUCUGGACAAGCGAGGAAGUUUCUUUAAGGGAAGAGCCAGAAGUCCCAUGAUGCCAGAUAUGGUGAAUAAGGUGGAUGAAGGUACAGUGCACAUUUUUAUUUGACAGAAGUUGCUGUAAACAUUUGAACAAUGAGGGGUGAUCAUAAAAUAUGUUGAAAGUAUAAAUUUUAAAAUUCAUUAUAGUAAAGGACACAUUGCCAUUAACCCCCCUCAGAAUAUUCAAAGUAUUUCCCCUCGCUCCAAACACACUUAUCCCAUUGUUCUUGGUAAUGUGUCUUUUACUAUAAUAAGUCAUUUUUUUUACCAAGGGCUGAUUAAACCCUCAGCUAUCUUUUGGGGGGAAUGACAAGGAAUAAAAGCAAAAGGCAGAGUCAAUUUUCAAGAUAUAAAGGGGGGACCAGGAGGAGACCUGCCUCUAACAGACAGACUCAAAUAAAACUCCUUGGUUGGCCCACUUUUAUUAGCCAGUGAGAAGUGCAAGGGGGGGGUAGCACGCAUUUCAUGGAACAGCAACAAUAGAGGUGGAUAAGGAUUAAGUUAAUGAGGAACCAGAUUUUCUCUACACCCAAAUGCCUGUAUAUUGACAGCUGUCCUCAGCAGAUGCUGUCCUGCCUCAGGAGUGCUGGGUUAUCAGCAUUCCAUUCAUAGCCAGGGGGCAUUUGGCCGUCUACCUAUUUCCCUGUUCCCAAGGCAAGAUAACAACCUCAAGACUGUGAGAUCUAAGUUAUGUAGCCUAGUACCCAACAUUUUUUAAUUUAAGCAUUUUCAGGAUCUUUUGGUCAUCUGGGUUGGAUCCAACUGAUCAUCAUGUCAGCAUGUCAUGAAUAUAAAAAAAUUAUUAAUCAGUUAUUUUACAUUAAUUUUGACACCAUGUCUUUUUUUAAUUGACAAAAAGUAUAUAUCAUGUACAGCAUGUUUUCAAAUGUGCGUUGUUCCAUGUCUUGACAGUCCCAUUAGUUGAGUGUGAUGGAAGAGGCUUGUGAUCCCAGAACUUGGGAGGCUGAGGCAGGAGGAUCACCAGGAGUUCAAGGCCAGCCUGGGCUACAUAGUGAGACCAUGUCUCAAAAAAACAGAGAGAGAGAGAGAGAGGGGAAAAGAAAGUCCCAGGACUAUUUGAGACUCAGUGAGUCUCAGCUCUGACCAGCAAUAGCUGCACGUGGCCAGUGGCCACCAUGCUGGGCAGCGAAGCCUUAGUGUUUAUCUGGUCUACACUCCCUCCUUACACAGAUGGGGAAACUGAGAUCAGGGCUCCUUAGUGUACAGCAGGGAUAUUGUCAGCCUUGGCCUGUGUCCUUGGCACUCCCACCCAGCCAUCCUCUGACUGUUUGCCACCCUUUCCCACUCACUGUCUUAGGAGCCAUCUGGAGAGGUUGAGGGGACAGUGGCCUCCCCUUCCUUGCAUCCCACAGGUCCCUCUCACCAGCUGCUCCCAGCACCUGUAGGUGCCAGGUCAGCCCCUCGGGCCUGACUUUCCAACCAGGCUGUGAGCUUAGGAGACACAGAUUCCUGGCAGUGUUCCCAGAAAGCAGCAGACUGCACGGUUUUAUGGGACAGUGUCUUGUACAUAUGGUGGCUGCCAAUUCCCCACUGGCCAUGUCCCAUGCUCAUUGGCGCCAGAGGAUUUUUUCUUUUGUUUAUUUUUAAAAUCAAGAGUUCUGCUCAACCACAUAUUUCUCGAGGCCUCCUUGUUUCAUAAAUUGGAGAGAGACAGAGUUUUGAAGAAAAUUUUGUUAACAUACAAUUUUCAAAAAGUUAAAACGUGACUCUUGUAGGACAUAAAUGAGCAUCCAUGAGAACUCCAUUCAUCUCACACAGGAGGAAACUAGUAAGAUUGGUAAAGCUCAUCCAAAGAACAUGUUUACAAAGCACAUAUUUUUAUGCAGUGUAGAAAGGCAUUGUGAGAUAAGUUUGCCAAGUCAAAAAUCUGAUUAAAUCUUAAGAGACAGUAAAAUUGUAACCUUCAGGGUUAUCUCUUUUAUUCUGAACUGAAAUCUUCAGCAUGAGCUAGAACCUGGUAGUGUCUGAGUCCUUCAUUAACAGCACAUGGCAAAGCCAGACACAGUACAGUCUGCUAGGCAAUGAAGUAAUCUUUAUGUCAAUUUAAACAAUGCUCCAGUGUGACAUUGAAAAGCUGAACUCAAAAACAAAAGGGCAAUACAGUGGUGCGGUGCACACCUAUAAUCCCAGCACUGUGGGAAGCUGGUACAGGAGGAUCCCAUGUUUGAGACCUGCCUCAACAACUUAGCAAGACCCUGUCUCAAAAUAAAAAAAAAUAAAAGGGCUUAGGCUAUAGCUCAGUUGGAAGAGAACCCCAGCAUCCCUAAAAUUGAUCCCUAGCACAACAACAACAAUAGCCCUCUGCCUUGAAAUGUGAAAAUCUAAAAUCUACUAAACAAUUCUGAGGCAAGUGCAGAAAUAUAAACUGGCAUUAUACAUUGUCUAAAAUAAGACGAUCAAAAUACUGCCCAUCAGAACAAAUUCUGUAUACUUAAAGCAGCAAUCAGAGGAAAAUUCAUAGCAAUAAAUAUUUUUAAUCAGAAAAGAUGUCCUUUACCUUUUUUGCCUUACUCUCAAGUUUUAAGUUGUUGUUGUUUCAAUACUGUGGAAUGAAUCCAGGGCCUAGCACUGACCUGUAUGCCCAGUCCUUUUUAUUUUUUAUUUUGAAACAGGGUAUCACUAAGUUGUCCAUACUUCUCUCCUUGAGCUCCUCCUGACCAAGCCUCCCAAGUACCUGGGAUUACAGGCAUGCACCACUGUGGCUAGUUUCAAUAAUGUUUCAUUGAUGUUUCUUAAUAAUUAACACUGAAAUUAUUUAUUCCCAAGCACUUCUGUAAUCUCUGUCUUGGUCACUUUCCUCAUCCCUAAAACACAAUACCCGACACCUGCAACUUAAAGGAAGAGAGGUUAUUUUGGCUCAUGGUUUCAGAAGUUUCAGUCCAUGGUCAGCUGGCUCAAAUGCAGAAGUGGUAUGGUGGAAGGGCCUGCUGUGGAGGAAAAGUGCUUGCAUCAUAAUGGCCAGGAAGCAGGGAGGGAAGGGAGGAGGAGCCAGGGAGGGAGAUGCACACCCCAGUAACCACCUCUUCUGACCAGGCCCCACCUCCAUCCAGCAGCACACUUAUCUCUGAACUCAUCUGUGGAUUAAUCCACAUUUACACAAUCAAGAAUUCUGCUUUACAAGAGCAAAUGCCUUCAAUGCAGUGGGCAACCUAGGAGAGCUACUUCUAAACUGGAUGAUUAAGUUCCAGGGUCCUUGGCAUCUCUUCAGUAUGUAAAAUCCUCACCACGGUUUUCUGCAUGUGCUGUGGUCCCUGAGCUCAGAUGCCACAAGCUAGCAGGACCCUCACACAUGCGGCUGUCACCAUGGGUCUACCGGUCCAGGUGAAUUGGAUAGAGGCUGAUUUUCCAGCGUAGCCAUUAUUCAGAUGUCUUUAUGUGGUAAAGCACAAAAUCAUGUGCACAGCACUGUCUGAAGCUGUGAGAUGUGUUGUUACAAAACUUGUUACCCCGAAGCACAGUGACUUCAAAUAGCAUUUAUACCACAUAGUUUCUGAGGGUCAGAAGGCUGAAUGUAGCUUAGCUAAGAACUCAAGUCCAAGGUCUCCGUGGCUUUGGGCUGGGCCAUCACUUAAGGCUGCAGUUUCAGCCAAACUCUCAGCCAUGGGGAAUCUGCUCACAAACUUCUCUGGCACAUCUCAGGCAGCUGCCACGUGGUCCUUCCCACAGGGCUGGCCAUGGGACAUGGCAGCUGGCUUCCUCCAGGGCAAAUGACAUAGAAGAGAGUCAGAGAGACAGAAGCCACCACCUUUAGAUCCUAAUCUUGAUGCAAGAGACCUUCACUUCUGCCCUGGUCUGUCCAUUAGGAACUGAUCAGUAUCCGGCUUUCUCCAAAAGAGAUGAUGCAGGGUGUGGAGACCAGGACAUGAUGGGUGCUGGGGCCACCUUUGAGACCAUGCAUGGGAUAAUAGCAUGGUCACAAGGUCAGGAACCUGCAGGCCCACGCAGGGCUGGCGUUAGUGAAAAGGACGAGGGGGGUUGGCUGGCGUUGGGCCGGUGGGCUGGUGGGGUGCAGUGAGCUGCGGUGUCUACAGGAGGGGCAGUAGCAGUGUCCUUCCAUAAUUGCUGUCAUCUGGGGUGAAUAUAGGCUGCCGGCUUGCUCCAGAGAGGUUAGAAAUCCAGAUUUUUGUGUUUAAAUACUGUGAGGACCAAAAAAAGGAAAAGCCACACUUUUGAAGGCCAUCUCUGGCACAUGGGCAGUGGGGUAAAACUCCGGAUGGUUCCUCCCUCAAGCCCCAGCUCUUAAGGCGCUCCCAAUAACGCACACCAGGGAUUGAGCCAUGACCACAGGGCCCUUUGGGGACACUUCAUACCCUGACUGUGGCUGUCCACUUCCAGGAAGGGUAGGGGGAAGGACAGGAGGCCACAGCCCAGCUUCUGUUCCUCUUAAAAUGGAACUGCUCAGCACAGCAGACUGUGAGGUCCAAGCUGGAGCUCAGGAGUUGCAGCCACUCCCAGGGGACAAAACAGCAUUUAUGGCGACUGAGGGAGGGGGAGGGGAGAGCUGGGGUUUCCCUGGGUCCAGGGUCAUCAAAGGGCAUGGGCACAUACCAGGGUUCUGCAGUGGCUUUCACCUGGGUCCCAGUGGACCAACAUCAAGGGGGACCUGGUCCUCCCUCUCCCUGACCUAAAACAUGGGCGGCCAACAUCUCUCCAUUCUGUAAUGCUGGCCAGGAUUCAUCUGGGUAGGCUUUCUAAAGCUUGUUCGUGUUGUUUAUUCUUUUUAAAAAUAUUUAUUUUUAAUUGACAAAUACAAAUUACACAUAUUUAUGGGCACAACAUUUUUCCUUGGUUAAGGAAACACUUGACAUGUACUCUCAACUGUUUUCAAGAAUAUAAUACAUUGUUAUUAACUUUAGUUACCACGUUGUAAAUAGAGCUCUUGGAUUUAUUCCUCCUCUCAAACUGAAAUUUUGUAUCCUUUGACCAGUAGCUCCCUGAGUAUAGCUUCUCUUCUACUCUCUUUCUGAGUUCAGCUUUUAAGGAAGGUCAUAUGGUAUUAUUUGUCUUUUGGGCUUGGCUUAUGUCACCUAAUAUAACUUCCUUUGGGUUUGUUCAUGUCGCAAAUGACAGGAUUUUCUUCUUUUUUAACACGUUCUUGUCGUCUUGAACCACCGUGGUGCUUGCAUGACUGUCCCAUCAGGCAGCUUGUAUCAUCCAAUGAGACUGUCCCAUGCCACCCAGUGGGACAGUCAGGCAUCUACCACAGUGAUUCAAAGCCUCCAGCAGUGAGACAUACGAAUUACAUCCCCGUCGUGAAUGUGUUAAGGCAGAGUGGUAUUCCACAAUGUACAACACCAUGUUUGCUUUGUCUUCAUCUGUUGUGAACACUCUAACAAGUGUGAGGUGCUAUUUUGUUGUAGCUUUAGUUUGAAGAUUCCUUUUGACUUAGUAAGUCACACUCCGUGGUAGCAUUUGUCGUUCAUAACUUAGUCUAAACCAGUGCUUCUGAGCACUUGGCUGAGGUGAGUCUAGAGGAGAAAUGCAAGUUUGUGUGUUGAGGGGGAGAUAGAAAAGGGUAAAUUGGUGUCUCUAGGAGGUGAGUCAGGGCUUGGGGCCUCCCGCUGGAUGUGUGGGGUGGCCAGACCUGGUCACCUAUAAUGGAGGGGGAGCAGUGGGCAGGGGCUGGGCAGUAGAGCUCAUCCUCUGCCCCUCUCCACAUACCCCACCCUGAACCUCAGGGUUGUGUGGCUCCUGCUGAGCCUCAUCUUCCUUUCCCACACAGGCAGGUGAGCUGAGGCUAAGAUGGGAGACAACCCAGGCUAUGCCACUGCUGUUACCCACUACUAUGUCACUCUGAGCAAUCAACUCAGCAAGUGUCGGUUUCCCCAUCUGAAAAUUGAAGAUAAAUAUUGCUCCCUCCCUUCUAUGGCAGCUUUGAUUAAAACUCAACAAUAUCUCACCCAAAAAGGACGUAGCUAGUACUUGUGCAUAGUGGCGACUCCAUGAACACCCUCUCUGAGGACAGCAGGGUCCCCAAGCCCCUCAUCUCUGUGCAGCACAUGUCACCUGCAGAGGCUGCAGCCCCACUGUGUGUAGGCGCUCACUCCAGGGUCUCAGGCUGCUCUACGUGGAGCAGAACCCCCUUUCAGACAGGCAUGUGACCCUCAUCUGGGGGUGACAGAAUGCAGUGCCACCCCCCCGACACAUACACUUUCACCUCUUCUAUCAAAUGAGGAGGUGUCAAAGACGUUCCUAUCUGCAAAUUUCUUAUGUGACUUCACUGCUUGUGGGUUCCCAGGCUGUCACAGCCCCCCUGGAAUAGAACCUUUGGGGUGGGGCAUGACUGCAUGGCACUGACCCAGCCCAGAGGAUCCUGGUCCUCAGAGAGGCAGGAAUCGUGGGCAGAUCUGGCAGGUCCCUUCCAGGUGACCUUCCCACAUCUGUCCCCGCAAGGAGGUAACUACUCUUGAGAUGCAUCCCCAGUGGUUCUCAAAUCAGGUCCCCUAGGUACCUGCUGGGCAUCUGCUGGAGGUGCUGUUCUGUCAUCCCAGGCCUGAAGGGCAGAGCUGGGGAUGGGGCCCAGCACCUCAAGCAAUUCUGAGGCUCACUGGGUGUCCCAGCUGCUGAUGCCACCCUGCAUUUAAAUGCAUGACUAAGACCCCGCACAGAGCCUAGACUGCUUCCGCUGGAGACCUGGCUUCAUGUUGCCCUUGGGAAACAGAGUGACGCCACUUUACCAGUAGGGUCGCCAAGACCCACUGGUUCACACAUGGCACUCGGUGAUCUCUGCCAGUCCCUGGCUCUUAGAGGCCUUGGUGCUGUGUGCACCACCGUCUAAUGGCACCUCUGUUCCUGUCCCCUGAUGCCCCAUACUUGAUUUGCUCUCACAGAAGCUUCACACAUAGGUGGAUGGGGAUCUUCAGGGUCAGGGUGGCUCAGCUGUCCCUGACUUGGCAACCCACAGAGGCCAGCACGUCCCAGAUACCUUGUCUCCCAUCUCCAGAGGCUGUGGACUCGCAGGGCUGAGAGACUGGGUGGGGCCCCCACUCUCCCGCUGAAGCCUGAGGUGAACACAGACACUAGUGCGGGCACACACUGCUGCUGGGCAUGGGGUGAAGGAACAAACAAGCAUCAGCAUCUUGGCUAAUCCCUCAGUGUGUCUUGGUGAAAUCUACCAUGUGAGUGCCAUGCCAGGUGUGUGGCCCAGGUCCCUCCUUGUCCAACUGGGUUUCUUUGUUUAAAAAAAUUAUUGUACAUGUUUGUGAUCCACGAUGAAUGUGUUGUGGGAGUUGGUGCACGUAGGUAUCUUAAUCCUCUUUACUUCUUCUUUCCCUCUCUGCUCCCUCCGUUUCUUGGCCCCUUUCCCAUUUGUAAAAUGACUAUUUCCCUGUACCCUAUCAUCUGUCCUUCAGUUUUUUAAAUUAUUUAUACUUCGUUUUUCUAAUAUGAGAGAAACUAUGUGAUAUUUAAGCUUGUG